Molecule: long non-coding RNA, 3698 nt
Filed under: Sus scrofa (pig)
Lineage: Eukaryota; Metazoa; Chordata; Mammalia; Artiodactyla; Suidae
Description: lncRNA (ENSSSCG00000057458.1)
Source: RNAcentral
CUGACAAAUACUGUUGCUAAUGGUCACAUAUACAUUGGGACUAAAUUUUCUCUGGCGUAGCUAGUCCAUUGAAAAUGAUUUGCUGUGACUUGCUCCUUGCUGUAGGUAAUAUCAUGGUCUCUAACUGAAAAGCAUUUAAAACUUUGUCAUAUGUUAUUAAGGCAUAUUUGCACUUAUGGGACUGUUCUUAAGAAAAUCAGAGCUUUUGUAACUGAGAUGGAAAUAAAAGCUAUUCUGCCAUGAUUUAAAUAGAAGAAAGAUAAUGUACAGAAGCCUUUUUUUUAGAGUUUCUAUUGACUGUAAAGUUACUUGAUACAGUUGGCCAGAGCUAAACUAUUCCUUAAUUUCAAUCCCUUUAAAAUGAGCUUUCCAUUAUAGCUCUACAUAUACAGAAUAGUGUUUAAAAUGAAAAACAUGUAAGAAGACUGUAUAUUAGGUUUUCUGAAAAUGUCUUUGUUUUUCUAACUUAUAGUGAUAAUUCAAAUUAGAGAUAUGCUAGUACAUUAUGAUCAUACCAAAAGGAAGAUUAGACUAAUAAGGUAAUAACAGUAGCAGCAAAAUUGCCUUUUCCUUCCUGCUCCCUUAUUUGAGGGGAAGACUGAAACAGGUACUUGGUUUAAACCACAUGGGAAAAAUACCUUUUCAGUUGCAAACUGACCUAUAUGUCUGAGCAAUGUAAACACAUCAUAUGACUGCCCCCGCCUCCCACAAGGGCUGAGUUCUUCCCUGUGUAAAUACUGCACGUGGGCACUAACAUCUAAGAGGUGGAGAGAUAAAGUCUGACAAACAUCCCUGGAGGACAGAUGUCUUCUCCCAGGGCCCAGGAUUCCAAGACAUAGAGGCAAUGUCAGCCUGUGGGGCUUUUGCAAUAGUGAAGGACCACUGCCACCUGGGGACAGCAGUAAGCAUCAACGCCGACAUGGUGCAGGCCAAAUGGAGCACCACACGCACUGUUGGUGACGAAUGAUGUGCGCAGAAGCUGGGCCACCUGCUGAUGCUGAUGGUCUAAAAAUCUCCCAACAGCGAGUGUUUUCAUGGGUACAUUUAUGGCCUGGGGUAAGGCUUUUUUCCCACAAAUCAAUAAUUAUCCUUGCAACCACACAAAAGAUAUGAUUAUCUUGUGUUAAUGUAAACAGGCAACUAGAUAACAUAGUUGUAAAUGGAUAAGAGCCAUAGGGGCAGGGAAUCGGAGACUAAACACCCUGCCUAGAGGCUUUCAAUUUUAUCAAGAAAUAUUUUUGGGGAAGACUGUACUCCAUUAAGCAGCACACAUUUGCAGCUCCAAUUCAGCCUGCAACCAUCUAGAACUGGAGGUCACUGGGUGGGUAUAAAGAUCCUUGGUGACAUUUGAGCACCUGGAACAAAAGUCUGAGAAUACUUAAUUCACUUAUUCACUGUAAAAUAUUUAUUGAAGGCUUGUUUUAUUUUAGGCAUCAUUCCAUAUUGAUAGACAAGUUAGGAAAAGAGAUAUUAAACAAAUAAUUACCCAAAUGGAGUUACAGUUAUGAUAAAUGCAAUGAAAAAAAUCCAAGGCAGCUACAUAACUAUAUGCUGUGUUUCAUAAAACUUGCUUGCUUAUAAAUCACAUAAAUAUUUUAUAUUCUACCGAGAGACAAAACCCUGCCAAUGAAACUACAGCCCUUUACUUUCUUUUUUCUAAGAAAUGAAUACCCUAUGCUUUUGAUACAUUUUACUUCAUACUUAUUGAAAGAGCUCAUUUUAGAUUUAUGACAUAGAUAUUUUAUCAUAUGUCAUUCUUGUACAUACAUAAGAAGGAAAGUAUAAAUUAAAUAAGAUAUCUCAUUGAAAGUUGAACUUUAUCACUUUUUGACUCAGGGUCCUUAAUAUCCAUACUUUUCUAUACAGAGUCAUUCAUCAGGAGAGUUGGGAGAAGUAUUUCUUAGAAGAAUGCUUCACUAUUGUCUAGAAUUUUCUCCCCAGCAUCUGACACUAAUUCUCAGAGUUUAGAUGCUGAUGCUUUCUUGACCUUACUAAAAGAUGUCAACACAAGCUUUUCAGAUGCUGACUAGGACUUCUACCCUUCCCUCCAGUGGUCCAGAAUGGUUUGUAAACUCAAAAGGCAAGGGGCUUCGGUUGUACUGCCAUGUUGUUAGGGCUCACAUGCACAUGUGCUGGCAUGACAGCCGUGUCACGACCUGACCUAUUGAGUUUGGAAGACCCUGUUGUUAAAAAGUCACAUAUAACUUCAGAGAUGUGAAAAUAUGCACAUAACAAAGAAUCAGUGAAAUAUAGUCCGUUAAUGUUCAGACCUGCUCUUCAGGACUAGAGACAUUCUCUUGCAGAAGGUGACAUUUACUGUCAGACCUGAAGACUAAGAAGUUAUCCAGCAUUGAAAAGAAAAAGUGUCAUACUAGUAGAGGCAAGACCAGAUUAUGGAGCAGACCAGAUGGACAGCUCAUCAGGCCACCAAAUUAUGGGAGUGCUUAUAGCAUUUCCAGAUUCAUAGUGAAAGUUGGUCCCUGCCAGCUCAGUUUCUACCUGCACCUUCUUAUCUUCCUAAAGAGAUGUAAGUAGGUCUCACUUUCACUGAAGCUGAGGGAGUUGUUGAGUGCAAAAGAGAACAAAAUAAGAUGAAGCCAUCCCUGGUUUGUUUCUUAUUACUACAACUAUCUCAAACUGGCAGUUGCGGUCAUCUGAAAUUCCAAAACCACAUCAUUCAUGGCAUAGAACAAGUGGCAGUCUUUGUGAUCUCCAUGUAAAACCCUUUUAACAUCCGGUCCCACUUCCUAGGAUAUUGUCUUGUUUGAUAAUUGACAAAAGAAAGCCAAGGAGAGACCAAAAAACUAGAGAAUAAAUGAAAAUAAUCCUUUUUUUUUCAAAAUAUCAUUUUGCUUCCUCAGGUGAAAUAAAUUGUAUAUUAAAUUUGUCCCUAUCAACAAUUUUUGUUGCUUGAAGAUUAGGUUCACCCAGUCUCAGCAGAUAUGUAUUGAACAAAUGUUUGAAGAAUCAAUGUUGGAAGGGGCUCCAGACUCCUGGUCUUCUAGGGAGUGGGUAUAUUUUGAGUGGGUGCUAGUCAGACUAGAACCAAGAGGUUUGCAAAUUCAUGGAACCAAAGGAAGGGCAGUGAAGCUGGGCAUGGUUUAGGAUGGAGGGGAUAGUGUGUGUGGAAAGGCUGGAGGCUGGUCCAGAGUCAUGCCGUAUAAAUUUUCUAUGAAGGAUUUUGGUCUUCAUGCCAAGGGCAUGUGGGAGUUAUUGAAAGUGUUUUGAUCAGUGAAAUGCUAUGAUCAUAUUUGCAUCCUCUCUCUGGCUGCAAGGAAGCAGAUGGAUUGUUGGGAAUGAGUUAUCUUCUCUCUGGGCAAGGUGGAGUUCUUCGUUCAUGCAGCAAUCUGGACUUCAAACACUGGUGAACUGGCUUUUAGGCAUUUCCUCAAAAGGGGCAUGUAAAUUAUUCAUCAUUCACAGCAACAUUUGGAAAUUUUACAGAGCUGAAGUGAACAGUUAACUGCAAUAACAGUAAUAAAUCUAUAAGAAGUCUGUUCAAUGGGAUCUUCAGUGGAUUUAUUUCUCUACUGUUUUUGUAUUGGAUAAAUGAAGUAAAUAAUAAGUGAACAAAAUUAGGAUUUGGAGCCCAAAGAAAAGUUCUUUGAAUCUUGCCUGUGAAAUAGGGUGAGAAGAGAUUGAGCCCAGCAUAUCUUGUGAAAUAACCCCUGGAUAACACACAGUAAAUUGAGUAUGAC